CGCCAUCUUUUCUUGCACUUUCUUGGCGGCAACCAAACACAAGAUUAGAGAGAAAACUUUACCUUGCUCAUUGAUAUGAAGGAACAAAAGCAAAAGGUCUCGUCUCCUCUCUUCUCCUCUGUUCUCGGCAUUGCAAGGGCUUGGAGGAGUUCUUCAAUUGUUGGACUGAUUGUGGAAGAUUUAUGGUCUGUGAGUUUUCUGACUAUUCAAAGAACAGAUUUUGCUUCAUCUUCCACCCCUUCCCUCUUAUUUUUCUUAAACCUUGCUGACCUAUAUAGACAUUAAAGUUAUCAUUUUUUGUGAGCUUUUGUUUAAUCUGCUUCUUGGCUACAUUGUUAAGCAUCAUAGUUUUGGUGCAAACAGAGAAUUUCAUAUUCCAUUUUGGAACUUAGGAUUUUAUUCCCAAAAGAAAAGCCUUUUCUUUCAAUCUUUUGAUCUGAUUGUUUACCCAAAAUCCUUGUUUUUGAUUCUUACUAUCUUUCAUUUACAAUUCUCUUUCAUAUCCACUUCCUUCCUAGUUGGUUCUGUUAAUUCUUGCGAAAUUCACCUGGAGAUUGGAUGUUAGCCAUUUUGAAGAUCAUUCUUUUGAUCAAUUGCCAAAGAGAAUGCUUGGUGCUGUUUCUCCACUCAGCAAACUAUGACCUGAACAUAUAUGAUUUUGGGCCAGCAUGUUAUUGAUGCUUGAAGGUCCUAGUGUGGAGAUAAGCAUGUGAGUUUGUUUUUCUUGAGAUUUGAAGCAUGCCCCUUUGGUUUUUAACUCAUUUCUACAGCGGGUCUUGAUCACAACAUGGUUCUGCGCUUAAAUUCUUUUGGCUUGCCUCUUGUGGUCAGUUUUAUGAGAUUGUGACAUCAAGCUGCCCUCCACAUUGGUAUGGUGCUACAGAUUUGGAAAGAGUUUCCCAUCUUUUCGCUGUGCAUUUUCCUGCACUUACUGCAUCUGUUGUGAGGUUCACAGGGGCUAGUGGUUGCUUGGUUGUUGGGAUGCUUACUUCUCUCUCUGCAACUGUGGAUGUUGCACUUUGUUUUUGCUAUGGUGGUUUACCCAGUUUGCAGCUGGGUUUCAUUGGUUUCUGUUGCCAUUGGUAUCGGCAUGUCUUCUAAGAAUUUGAUGCCAGAUUUUAGACUUAUGGUUUGCUACCUCACUGCAUUUGAAAGGUUCUGUCAAUCCAUGUCUAGUACUCUAGGCACUCUACUCUGUUUUGGAGCCCUGGUGCUCAUCAUAUUUUUUGAGCCAUGGGGCUCACCAUUACUGGUUUUAGUAGAAAGUUCUUGUUUCCGGUUUCUGCAGCAAGUUCUGCGUUGCUUCCGGAUUUGUUUCCGGUUUUGUUGUUCUCCAUUGAUGUGUUGAUGUUUGCCGGCAAUACUUUGUUGGGUCUAUUGUUCUCCAGCCAGUGUUGGUGUUUUUGCAGCUGUCAUUCUAGUUUCCGUUGUUGCCCUUUUUUGCCAUCUUUUGUCUGCGAUCAGUGGUGCGCCUCUCACUGGCACCUUUGCGUUGCACUUGAUCUUGGCAUCUUGGAGCUCACAUUGAGCCUUUUACUUCUGCCAUGCAGGAUUUCUUCUUCUUCUUCAUCUAGGUUCAUAUGUGUGUACACUCCAUCUUGACUCUUGAGGGGGCCUAUUAGAAAUUGUAUUGUGGAUUUGUCUUUGUAUUUUGUACAUUUUAUUUUAGUCUACACAUUUUCCAUAUUUUCCACAUGUGAUUAGUUAGGAAUUACCGAAUUAGUUAGUUUGUUAGUGAUAUUUUCUUAGGCUAGCACUUGUAUAUAUAAGAGUGCUUUGAUGUAAUUUACAAUUUUACACACAUUGAUAAUACAAGCUAGGUUGCAUGGACACCAACAGUGUAUGGCAAUUUUUGAAAAACAAGGGUAUGACAUGUCUAGGGAACGACAAUUAAUUAAUUAAUAUUUAUAUUUAGGUAUUUAAAAAAAAAAUUAGACGUAAUUUAUAUUUAUUUUAGAAUUUAAAUUAACUAAGAACCGCAAAGAAGUACAAUAUCACUCAUAAAAUAGCAAGGAAAAAAUAUAGGUACAGUACCUUAAGUGUUGUUCCUUAGGUUCUCCUCUUCAAAUUCAGCCAUGUGGCUACUUAAUUAAAAAAUUCACUUUCAUCCCAUGAGAAAAAUCCACAUGACAAAAUUUUAAAGAUGAAAAUACUUUUUGGUCCUUAUAUUUUGGGGUUAUAGUCAAUUUGAUCCCUGUUAUUAUGUAACGACCCAAGGAAAAGCGCUAGCCAUAUCUGCGCUAUAUCUCAAAAGGACUAGUCACAAUUGAAACUCCUUAUAGUUGUUAAUAAAGCCCAGAUCUACCCAGUAAAUACCCGAUGUGGGACUCAUCACACACCCACACACAUCACACAAUUAAUCAAAUUGGGGUAUUACAAUCUCUCCCACUUAAAUCCCUAACGUCCUUGUUAGGGCCCACUUUGUGGGGUAGUGUCUCUGAGCCCACACGGGAUUACCGGACCGGCUCUGAUACCAUAUGUAACAACCUAAGGAAAAGCGCUAGCCACAUCUGCGCUAUAUCUCAAAAGGACUAGUCACAAUUGAGGCUCUUUGUAGUUGUUAAUAAAACUCAGUUCAACCCAGUAAAUAUCCGAUGUGGAACUCAUCACACACUCACACACAUCAUACAAUCAAUUAAAUUGGGGCAUCACAAUCUCCUCCACUUAAAUCCCUAACAUCCUUGUUAGGGCCUACUUUGUGGGGUAGUAUCUCUGAACCCACAUGGGAUUACCGGGUUAGUUUUGAUACCAUAUGUAACGACCUAAGGAAAAGCGCUAGUCACAUUUGCGCUAUACCUCAAAAGGACUAGUUACAAUCAAUUUGGUUCCUACUGUUAACUCAUUAACGAAAAAUGUCUACGUAGCUAAUGGUGUGUUGUUGGCAUGCUUGCUGCUGAUGUGACUACUUAAAUAGCAAUAAAAAAAUGUUAAUUAACAUUAAAUCAUACCAUGUCUAUUUUAAUUAAAAUAAAUAAAUAAACAAAAUAAAAAUUCCUUGUAUGGAAUUGCUAAAACCGUAGCCACUUGUUACUAAAGGAAUAUCAUCAGACAUUCAUAUUCAAGCAUAAAAAAAAUAUCAAGUAUUAACGCACAUUCAAACUCUCAUACCACAAAUUCAAAUCAUUGCAUUUUCGUUUGUCUUCCAUCACAAUACUACAUGCUCACACCGUUGUCGUCAAUGAAGCCUAAGCAAAGAAGGUCCAAAUCAGUCAGUUGCUCUCGUUCAUCAACAGUGGCACCAUUGACGGCGACAAAUCCACCACGGCAAGUCACAGUUCUCCCUUGCCGUUCACCACCACGAGCCACCGUUGAGGUGGUCUCCUUGCUCUAUCCCUCUCUCUACUUUUCUUGGACUACCGACUCGGUCUCUCCUUUGAUCUGUGAUGGUGUGAGGGUUUGGGUUGUUUAAUGGUUCAAAAUAUGUAUUAGUUGCGGUUGAAAUUUGAUUUUAGGGUCUGCUGGUGGUGGAUUUGGAUUUGGUGGGGGGUGGUGGUAAUUUGGGUUUGGUGAUGGUGGAUCUAGAUUAGUGGUGGUGCUAAACUUUUGAGGUGGUGGUGGUGAUUUGGGAUGUGGUGGGCCUGGUGGAUUCUGGGUUAAGUGGUGAAAAUAUUUGACAACUAAAAAAAAUUGCAAGAAAGUAAAAAAGAAAAUUGAAAAAGAUGUGAAAAUCUGUUUUGUUAUUGAGAAAUGUUAGGAAAAUUAAAAAAAAAUGAUAAAAUUGGUAUAUAUUAAAAAAAAAAAACUAUUUUUAAAAUUGAUGUUUUUUUUGCUAUGUAAGCGUUGAUGUGGCAUUAAAAUUUUGACACAUCAGCAUUAAACAUUUAGCCACAUAAGCAUUUUCCGUUAAUGAUUUAACGGUAAGGAUUAAACUGAUUGUAAAUUGAAAAUAACAGGGACCAAAUUGACUGCUAUCCAAACGUGGAGACCAAAUUGAUUGUAACCCCAAAAUGUAGGGACCAAAAUGGUGUUUUCACCAAUUUUAAAAGGAGAACCUAAGGAACAGCACAUAAGUACUGUGCCUAAGUUUUGCCCAAAUAGCAAAUACUAAACAAUAAAACAAUUAGUCAGGGGUCAUUUGUUACUGCUGUUUAAACAAUAAUUUUCAGUGUUUAAACAACAUUACACGUAUUUUCAUACACUUUUUCACUUACAAGUAUUUUCAAAAAAUACAAACAAUUUUACUAAGAAUCUCUUGCACUCAUUUACUAAACCCAUAUAAAAAAACCCAUAAAAUUAGAAAUAGUCAAUUACUAAACAACAAUGUGAAAAUUGCAAAAAUGAUAAAACCCAACCAAAAAAAGAAGAGAAAAGAAGUGAGAAAGAAAGACCGAAAGAGAGAGAGAAAUCAAAUCCUGAAGGAGAGAGAAAUUUCGUUCUAUGACGGAGGGAGAGAGAGGGAGCUUUGGGGUCGCUGGCAGGGGUUCUUUUGUUGCUGAUCUACAGCAGAGUGACUCGCUCAACAUCGACAAGGCAAGAACAGAGCAAAGAGAGGUGCUGAGGGGCAUCGGUGCAAGAGAAGGAAGAACUGAGAGGCAGAUGUCUUUUAGGGCUAUUAGUUGAUUGUUAUGCUCAAACCAGGAUCAACAAAUUUAAAAAUGGAUGAGACUAUGAAGCAAUUCCAAGAGGGCUUAAUUGAGCUUGAAACUGAAGCUGAGCAUCUUCUUUUAGCUCGCCAUCAGCUAGUUGAAAAUGAUAGAGUGAGGAAUGGGAAUAGGGAGGCGCUUACUGCAUUGAGGAAGAGGGUUCGGACGACAAAAACUAGCGUUCCAUCUCCUUUUGAGUCAAUAAUGAGAGAUAUUGGGGGUCCCGAAUCCAAACCCUUGGUGAAGGAGGUAUGUACCACCUGUGGCAACCACGACUCUAAUGAGCGGACAUGGAUAAUGUUCCCUGGGACUGAUCUCAUUGAUCAAGCACAACUUGACUUUGAUGCAAAAAGACUACAGAGCUAUAUGAAAGAGAAGUCCCUUUUGAUUUCAGAAAGAGGUGCCAUUGCUGACAAGAUCAGUCCAGGUGUACUCAAAUCUCUCAUAACCCUCUCAGACAAACCAAAGGCAAAUAGGUUAUGCCAUUGUUCCAAUGAUUGCAAGGGGAAUCAUGCUGGUCCUAAUCAGCCUGUGAUUCUGUACUUGCUUGAUAUUGAACAGGCGGCUGAAUCCUUGAAUGGUAUAAGUAUGGAAUUGACUGAUGCUGCCUUUCCUCUUCUGAAAGGUGUGGUUGCUACCACAGAUGUUGUUGAAGCUUGUAAAGAUAUCAAUAUUGCUGUUAUGCUUGGUGGAUCCCCAUGGAAGGAAAUUACGUUGAGGAAGAAUAUGUUGUCUACAAAUGCGUCUAUUUACAAGGCUCAAGCUUUGAUCUUGGAGGAGCAUGUUGCUGCAGAUUGCAAGGUGUUAGUUGUUGCCAACCCAGCAAAUGCUAAUGCCCUCAUCUUAAAACAAUUUGCUCCUUCAAUGCCAAAGGAAAACAUCACAUGCCUAACACGACUUGAUCACAACAGAGCAUUGGGCCAAAUAGCUGACAGGCUAAAGGUUCAUGUUAGUGAUGUCAAGAACGUAAUCAUCUAGGGAAAUCACUCUACAACUCAAUAUCCAGACGUCAAUCAUGCAACUUUCACCACCAGAAAUGGAGAGAGACUAGUCAGAGGACAUGUUGCUGACGGUCAUUGAAUGUGUAGGACACCCUCAGUGGAAAAUUGCAUGGAGGAAAGUUCGUGGAAGAGGGAUCUUUGAUCAAAUCUGUUGAUGUGAAGAUUUUCUCUCCUUGUGGAAAAUGCAGAACGUGUAGGACACCUUGUCACCCUUGGUGGAAAAUUACAUUGAGGAAAGUUUGUGGAAGAGGGAUCUCUGAUCAAAUCAAUUGACAUGAAGUUUUUCUCUCCUUGUGAAAGAUGCAGAACGUGUAGGACACUUUGUCACCCUUGGUUGAAAAUGGCAUUGAGGAAAGUUUGUGGAAGAGGGAUCUCUGAUCAAAUCAAUUGACGUGAAGUUUUUCUCACCUUGUGAAAAAUGCAGAACGUGUAGGAUACCCUGUCACCCUCAGUGGAAAAUUGCAUUGAGGAAAGUUUGUGGAAGAGGGAUUUUUGAUCAAAUCAAUUGACGUGAAGUUUUUCUCUCCUUGUGGAAAAUGUAGAACGUGUAGGACACCCUGUCACCCUCGGUGAAAAAUUGCAUUGAGGAAAUUUCGUGAAAGAGGGAUCUCUAAAAUAUGAAAUUGUGUGGUUUAAAAUAUGUCCAAUUUAAAAGUGUGGGGUUUAAGGUGUCCCAAACAAAAAAAUAUAAUUUUUUUUUACUUACUUUUCCUUAAUAUUAGCAUUUUCUCAUGAAAUAUCCAUUGGCUUUAA
Molecule: RNA transcript, 6337 nt
Organism: Quercus robur (English oak)
Lineage: Eukaryota; Viridiplantae; Streptophyta; Magnoliopsida; Fagales; Fagaceae
Exons: 9
Source: RefSeq, a predicted model, not a curated record